UACGUAGGGGGCAAGCGUUGUCCGGAUUUAUUGGGCGUAAAGAGCGUGUAGGCGGCCAGAUAGGUCCGUUGUGAAAACUCGAGGCUCAACCUCGAGACGCCGAUGGAAACCAUUUGGCUAGAGUCCGGAAGAGGAGAGUGGAAUUCCUGGUGUAGCGGUGAAAUGCGCAGAUAUCAGGAAGAACACCCGUGGCUAAGGCGGCUCUCUAGUACGGUACUGACGCUGAGACGCGAAAGCGUGGUGAGCGAACAGG
Molecule: ribosomal RNA, 253 nt
Filed under: uncultured bacterium
Lineage: Bacteria
Description: partial 16S ribosomal RNA
Rfam family: Bacterial small subunit ribosomal RNA
Source: RNAcentral